ACGAUAACAAAAGAAAAAUUCUUCUUCAACAAACUUCACUUUCAUUUUAAAGAAAAAUCAAAGAAAAUGUUUAACAAAAGCACCGCUUUUGUGAAUCAUGAACAACAUCAAAGCAUAAUCAACAAUUAAAGGAAAAUGUUAUCGGACGAGUUUCGUAACAACAACGAUGGUGGGUUUGAAGCUUUGAUGGUCGCGGAACGCAUAAUGAGGGCAGGUGGCUGUGUGGUGCAGAUCCGACGCGGUGUUUUUUGCGGAUUGGUUGUUUUUACUCUGGUUUCAAAGUUCUUGUGUCUUGUUGUUGGUUUGAUUAUAUUUUUAUGGUGUUGAUGCCAUUGUUGUUGUUGAUGGUGUUUUUUGUUGAUGCUAUUGUUGAUGAUGUUUGUUGAUGAUGAUAUUGUUGAUGCUAUUAGUGAUGAUGUUAUUGCUGAUGAUGUUUGUUGAUUAUUUUAUGUCUUGAUAGAUGAUCCGUCUUCAUCUAGUAAUGAUGAAGCUACAUAUACAAAUGAAACAAGUUCAAACGAUUCUCAAUAUGUAGUAGGACAAAAAAAAU
RNAcentral lists this long non-coding RNA (550 nucleotides) under Lathyrus oleraceus (garden pea). RNAcentral describes it as "Pisum sativum (pea) long non-coding RNA (PSAT_LNC013022)". The record is from RNAcentral. Lineage: Eukaryota; Viridiplantae; Streptophyta; Magnoliopsida; Fabales; Fabaceae.